Molecule: ribosomal RNA, 253 nt
Filed under: uncultured bacterium
Lineage: Bacteria
Description: partial 16S ribosomal RNA
Rfam family: Bacterial small subunit ribosomal RNA
Source: RNAcentral
UACAGAGGGUGCAAGCGUUAAUCGGAAUUACUGGGCGUAAAGAGUGCGUAGACGGUUAUGUAAGUCAGAUGUGAAAGCCCCGGGCUCAACCUGGGAAUUGCAUUUGAGACUGCAUAGCUAGGGUGCGGAAGAGGGAAGCGGAAUUUCCGGUGUAGCGGUGAAAUGCGUAGAUAUCGGAAGGAACACCAGUGGCGAAAGCGGCUUCCUGGUCCAGCACCGACGUUCAGGCACGAAAGCGUGGGGAGCAAACAGG